Molecule: ribosomal RNA, 497 nt
Filed under: uncultured bacterium
Lineage: Bacteria
Description: partial 16S ribosomal RNA
Rfam family: Bacterial small subunit ribosomal RNA
Source: RNAcentral
GAUGAACGCUGGCGGCGUGCCUAAUACAUGCAAGUCGAGCGAACGGACGAGAAGCUUGCUUCUCUGAUGUUAGCGGCGGACGGGUGAGUAACACGUGGAUAACCUACCUAUAAGACUGGGAUAACUUCGGGAAACCGGAGCUAAUACCGGAUAAUAUUUUGAACCGCAUUGUUCAAAAGUGAAAGACGGUCUUUCUGUCACUUAUAGAUGGAUACGCGCUUCAUGAGCUAGUUGGUAAGGUAACGGCUUACCAAGGCAACGAUGCAUAUCCGACGUGAGAGGGUGAUCGGCCACCCUGGAAGUGAGACACGGUCCAGACUCCUACGGGAGGCAGCAGUAGGGAAUCUUACGCAAUGGGCGAAAGCAUGACGGAGCAACGGCGCGUGAGUGAUGAAGGCCUUCGGAUCGUAAAACUCUGUUAUUAGGGAAGAACAUAUGUGCAAGUAACUGUGCACAUCUUGACGGUACCUAAUCAGAAAGCCACGGCUAACUACGUG